CAAGUUGAUGAAAGUCAAGAGACGAGCAAUACUUAUCAAAAUAAAUAAAAUGAAACACAAACUAGCCCCCAAAAAACACUAAUGACGUUUUAUUCAUAAUUUUGCGCCAUUAGAGCGAAUGCCGGGAAAUCCAAUAUCCCCUUAAAACACAUGAAAACACUUUUGUAAGACAAUUCAAACCCGUAAAAACAGUAACCACAUUUUCAUCAAGUAUUCUCCGCCAUUAAAACACAAUCAAAAAAAUAAAUAAGGAAAUAACACUAUGCAGGUCAAAGAAGAAGAAGAGGAAGACAAGAUGGCCGCCGACCUCUGCCCCAGCCGAGCCAGUCCACACUUUUUCGCCAUUCCAAGCCUUGUGGAGGGUGUGAGGUCUGUUAGGAAGUGACAAUCGUUCUCUCAGCCUUUCGACACCACAAGCAGCCGCCGGGAACCCUGCUGGACAUACGGGGAAGGCGAUCAAGGCUGUGUGUCCCUGCCUCCCUGAUGCCUGGGGGCAGACUCCUGGCUGGUGGCUGUCCUCCUCUCACCUCCUGCCUCCACAUGUCUUCUCAAAGGUCCCUGCUUUCCCCUGACGGUGGUGGUCUCCUUGCUCCCGGGUGGUUGUCUUCACAUUUUUCUGCCUCCGCCUCCACAGUGCUUCCCAAAGGUUCCCCAAACACCACGACAGGCCAGCUGAGAAACAGAGCCUGGAGACACCCUCUUCCUCGGGGACCUUUCCUCAUGGCACCCUAACCUCCCUCCAAGAGACUCCCUCCCCACCCAACAACCCAUCCCUCCCUCCUCCCCUCAGUGCCAGGCACAUUCUCCCCUCCCAAAGUCUCCCGUCCCAUCCCAACAACCCAUCCAUAUUCUUCACUUGGUGGGCAAUGCUUGGCUGCUUGCCUUCUGAGACCUUCCUCAUGUACUUGGCAAUAUAGCCGUAGUGUUAA
This is a long non-coding RNA of Eriocheir sinensis (Chinese mitten crab), 929 nucleotides long. RefSeq lists it as uncharacterized. NCBI's taxonomy places the organism in Eukaryota, Metazoa, Arthropoda, Malacostraca, Decapoda, Varunidae. The transcript has 4 exons. The record is from RefSeq and is a predicted model, not a curated record.